Varanus komodoensis (Komodo dragon) is the source of this 514-nucleotide non-coding RNA. The record is from the annotation of a RefSeq genome assembly. Lineage: Eukaryota; Metazoa; Chordata; Lepidosauria; Squamata; Varanidae.
UCCUUCAUCCAUCAGGUGCCCGCACAAUGGCCCAAAUUCUGCUCCUCUGCGCGCUCCUGCUUUGUGUUGGUCUGAGUGUCCAGCAGCUGCAGGUGUUGAAGGACCCAGAAUCUGUGGCGCAAGGCGGGACGGUCACCCUGUCGUGCCGAUACAGUGGUGGAACCAUCUCUGAUGGCAACUGGCCUUGGUGGUCCCAGCAGGUACCAGGGGGCAAACCCCGGGCGGUGAUGCACACCACCAGCACCAGGCCGUCCGAUGUCCCAGCCCGAUUCUCCGGUUCCCGGUCAGGGGACGUGAUGUCCUUGACCAUCACGGGGGCCCAGCCGGAGGAUGAAGCGACUUACUAUUGCUGUGUGUGGCAUGCGAACCAGGGCCACGGUGGCUCAUUCAGGUGGGGACGUGAGACAUGAACCUCGCCUCUGUAUCAUGGUUUGCACUCCCUUUCUGGAGUUAUGCCUGGUGAUGUGAUACAAUCCAAGACCAGCAGAGCUCGCUGUUGCCAUUUCCCACCUUG